Molecule: transfer RNA, 62 nt
Filed under: Batracomorphus lateprocessus
Lineage: Eukaryota; Metazoa; Arthropoda; Insecta; Hemiptera; Cicadellidae
Description: tRNA-Phe
Source: RNAcentral
ACUUUUAUAGUUUAAUUUAGAAUUUAGUUUUGAAGUUACUAAGGUAAUUUUUUUUAAAAGUA